Molecule: long non-coding RNA, 1772 nt
Filed under: Capsicum annuum
Lineage: Eukaryota; Viridiplantae; Streptophyta; Magnoliopsida; Solanales; Solanaceae
Description: long non-coding RNA (CANN_LNC007265)
Source: RNAcentral
GGUCCCCAAAUAUCAAAAUGUAUUAUAUCAAAAACAUGUUCUAUCUUAAUCAUACUAGUAGGAAAAUAUAAUCAUGUUUGUUUUGCCUUACAACAAGCAUCACAAAAUAUAGUCUUAUUUCCAUCAAAACUAAUAGAUAAACUUGGAACUAGAUAAAUGCGAUUGGUAAAUGCCCCAAGCGCUGAUUCCAUAAAUUUGCACUAACAAACUUCUUCACCAUCAAUGCUUGCCUUCCUUCAUCAGCUCCAAGUAAUAUAGACUAUUUCGCUUCCUACCCACUCUAAUCGGCAUCUUUGAAGGUAAGUCCUGAAUCACAAAAAAGUAUGGACCAAAGGUCACUAUAAAUUAUAAGACAUCUAUCAAUUUGCUAACUGACAGCAAAUUAAAGUAAAAAUUAUGAACUCCGAAGACAUGUUCAAGAAUUAAUCUUUUAGAAGGCCACUUGCCAAGCAUGAACUUUAACCAAAUUACCAUUUUGGAUUUGCAUGGGUGGUAAAUCUAUAUGAACUAUCUUUAUUGACAAAGAAUUUAAAUCAUGAGUUAUAAGAUUUGUAGCACCACUAUCAACUAUCCACUCCUCCCUUGUCUUAGCUUUGCUCCCAGAUUGGUUACCUGUCGAUGCUCCAUGAUUUCCCAAUAAUACUAAUAGUUGUUGAUGUUGAGUAUGCGUCAAACCUUGAAUUGGCGACAUAGCCUCUUCAGUAGUUGCAGCAAGAGCCAUACCUUUGAGUGCAUUUGGUUCCUUUUGAUUUUGUUUUGAUGCAUCCCAUGAAACUGCAUCUGAUCAUUAUUGGUGUGCUUACUAAUUUUCUUGCUAGGCUUACGCCAAUCUGGAGGAUACCCAAUCACUUUGUAGCAAUAAUCCUUGCUAUGAUUUUCUGUCACAGUGGUAAGGUGGAAAAUUGAUGCCUAUCCCCAUCCUCAAUUUUCCUUUGUCGUGAUUCACCCACUUUAGUCAGCAAGGCAAUUGCUUCAACAGAGCGUAUGCGAUUUGUAACAACUGAUCUCUGCUUCUCUUCUUGUGCUGUGAUAGCAUAAGCUCUUCCUAAGUUUGGCAAUGGAUCGACACUUAAUAUUUGAGAAUGCACAGUCGAAUAUGUGUCAUCAAGUCUAGAAAAUCAAAAACCUUUUCCUCCCGUCAUGGAUUGUAUCUUCUUUGCUGCACCACAAACACAAUCACUUGUGCAAGGAGGAGUUGGUAUGAUACCUUGCAGCUUACCCCAAACAGACUUAAGCUCACCCUAAUAGGAUGAGAUAGACGCUCUCUCUUGUUGCAAGAGAUCAAUGGCACACUUCAAUUCAUAAACUCUUGGUGCAAUUCCUUGGGUAAAUCGUUCUUCCAGAUCUACCCAAAUUUCUCUAGCAUUUUUAACAUGUGCGUCACUACCUUGCAGUUCUUUAGCAAUCGCAUUCAUAAGCCACGAAAGUACAAUGGUAUUGCACUGUAUGUUGUAAAUCUUGAGAGUCUUCUUUCGGUCUUUUAACGUCUCCAUUAACAAAUCCAACAUUAUUUUUAGAGAGUAGUGCAUUAAAUUUGUUUCCAAGUGAAAUAGUUUUCUCCAUUUUCACUUAGAGGACUGAUAACAAAAAUCAAACCUGGGUGUGCUGAUGGAUGCAAGGAAUAAGGAGAAGCCUUUGCGACUUUGGGUUGAGGAAGAUUCGCUAGUUCUCCAGUGCGUCCUUCAGUUCCCAUGGUUGAAUGGAAACAAACCUCAAGAUCUUUUAUCACUCUCUGAUACCAUGUAAAAGAAGAUUAUCCGAGUAAAUUGAUU